Molecule: ribosomal RNA, 460 nt
Filed under: uncultured bacterium
Lineage: Bacteria
Description: partial 16S ribosomal RNA
Rfam family: Bacterial small subunit ribosomal RNA
Source: RNAcentral
CCUACGGGCGGCAGCAGUGAGGAAUAUUGGUCAAUGGGCUUACGCCUGAACCAGCCAAGUCGCGUGAGGGAAGACUGCCCUAUGGGUUGUAAACCUCUUUUGUCAGGGAGCAACGCCGGCUACGUGUAGCCGGACUGAGAGUACCUGAAGAAAAAGCAUCGGCUAACUCCGUGCCAGCAGCCGCGGUAAUACGGAGGAUGCGAGCGUUAUCCGGAUUGAUUGGGUGUACAGGGUGCGUAGGCGGAAUGCCAAGUCAGCGGUAAAAUCGCGGGGCUCAACCUCGCUCCGCCGUUGAAACUGGCGUUCUUGAGUGGGCGAGAAGUAUGCGGAAUGCGUGGUGUAGCGGUGAAAUGCAUAGAUAUCACGCAGAACUCCGAUUGCGAAGGCAGCAUACCGGCGCCCAACUGACGCUGAAGCACGAAAGCGUGGGUAUCGAACAGGAUUAGAUACCCCUGUAGUC